GUGCUCGCUUUGGCAACACAUAUAUUAAAACUGAAACAAUACAGAGAAGACUAGUAUAGUCCCUACACAAGGAUGAUGUGCAAAUUCAUGAAGUGUUCCAUAUUUUU
This 107-nucleotide small nuclear RNA is filed under the name Cercocebus atys (sooty mangabey). Lineage: Eukaryota; Metazoa; Chordata; Mammalia; Primates; Cercopithecidae. The record is from RNAcentral.